GACCUGGUGGUAUAGUGGUAACACACUUGCUCAAAAUAAUUGUAAGACAUUCAACUGUGUAAGAGUUCCCUGUUCAACUCAGGACUGGAGCA
Mycena rebaudengoi is the source of this 92-nucleotide non-coding RNA. Lineage: Eukaryota; Fungi; Basidiomycota; Agaricomycetes; Agaricales; Mycenaceae. The record is from the annotation of a GenBank genome assembly.